RNAcentral lists this ribosomal RNA (465 nucleotides) under Vreelandella stevensii. RNAcentral describes it as "partial 16S ribosomal RNA". It matches the Rfam family "Bacterial small subunit ribosomal RNA", at positions 338 to 795 of the family's 1533-position model. The record is from RNAcentral. Lineage: Bacteria; Pseudomonadati; Pseudomonadota; Gammaproteobacteria; Oceanospirillales; Halomonadaceae.
CCUACGGGGGGCAGCAGUGGGGAAUAUUGGACAAUGGGCGAAAGCCUGAUCCAGCCAUGCCGCGUGUGUGAAGAAGGCCUUCGGGUUGUAAAGCACUUUCAGUGGGGAAGAAAGCCUUGGGGCUAAUACCCUCGAGGAAGGACAUCACCCACAGAAGAAGCACCGGCUAACUCCGUGCCAGCAGCCGCGGUAAUACGGAGGGUGCGAGCGUUAAUCGGAAUUACUGGGCGUAAAGCGCGCGUAGGCGGUCUGAUAAGCCGGUUGUGAAAGCCCCGGGCUCAACCUGGGAACGGCAUCCGGAACUGUCAGGCUAGAGUGCAGGAGAGGAAGGUAGAAUUCCCGGUGUAGCGGUGAAGUGCGUAGAGAUCGGGAGGAAUACCAGUGGCGAAGGCGGCCUUCUGGACUGACACUGACGCUGAGGUGCGAAAGCGUGGGUAGCAAACAGGAUUAGAUACCCUUGUAGUC